Molecule: transfer RNA, 76 nt
Filed under: Podarcis lilfordi (Lilford's wall lizard)
Lineage: Eukaryota; Metazoa; Chordata; Lepidosauria; Squamata; Lacertidae
Description: tRNA.Thr
Source: RNAcentral
GGAGCUAGGGUGGUGUAGUGGUUAAGAGCGGUGGACUCGUAAUCUGGUGAACCGGGUUCAAUUCCCUGCUCCUCCA